UCCGGCUUAGAACCGGCAGUUCCGUUAAAGUGCCCAGCCAAACCUGAUGGCAACUAACGGUAAGGGUUGCGCUCGUUGCGGGACUUAACCCAACAUCUCACGACACGAGCUGACGACAGCCAUGCAGCACCUGUGUAACGCCAGCCGAACUGAAAGGGGAAUCUCUCCUCCCUAAACGUUACAUGUCAAAAGCUGGUAAGGUUCUGCGCGUUGCUUCGAAUUAAACCACAUACUCCACCGCUUGUGCGGGUCCCCGUCAAUUUCUUUGAGUUUUAACCUUGCGGCCGUACUCCCCAGGCGGGAUGCUUAUCGCGUUAGCUUCAACACUGAAGAUCAUAUCUCCAACGUCGAGCAUCCAUCGUUUACGGCGUGGACUAC
RNAcentral lists this unclassified non-coding RNA (378 nucleotides) under uncultured Alphaproteobacteria bacterium. RNAcentral's name for it is "contains 16S-23S intergenic spacer region". Lineage: Bacteria; Pseudomonadati; Pseudomonadota; Alphaproteobacteria. The record is from RNAcentral.